This 481-nucleotide ribosomal RNA is filed under the name uncultured bacterium. RNAcentral describes it as "partial 16S ribosomal RNA". It matches the Rfam family "Bacterial small subunit ribosomal RNA", at positions 28 to 507 of the family's 1533-position model. The record is from RNAcentral.
GACGAACGCUGGCGGCGUGCUUAACACAUGCAAGUCGAACGGGAUCCGGGCUUUCGGGUUUGGUGAGAGUGGCGAACGGGUGAGUAACACGUGAGUAACCUGCCCCCUUCUUUGGGAUAACGUCGGGAAAUCGGCGCUAAUACUGGAUAUUCUUGCUGCAUCGCAUGGUGUGGUUUGGAAAGGGUUUCUGGUGGGGGAUAGGCUCGCGGCCUAUCAGCUUGUUGGUGGGGUGAUGGCCUACCAAGGCUUUGACGGGUAGCCGGCCUGAGAGGGUGUCCGGCCAAACUGGGACUGAGACACGGCCCAGACUCCUACGGGAGGCAGCAGUGGGGAAUAUUGCACAAUGGGCGCAAGCCUGAUGCAGCGACGCAGCGUGAGGGAUGACGGCCUUCGGGUUGUAAACCUCUUUCAGUAUGGAACAAGGAUCCUUCUUUUGGGGGGUUUGAGGGUACGUGCAGAAGAAGCGCCGGCUAACUACGUG